UCUUUGGCCCAGUGCCACAUGGAGCCCGUCCACUGGCUGAGCUGGGGGCCUGAUUGUGGCCACUCAACGUCUCUGUAAAGCUCAGGGUCUGCCUUGAGAUCCUGCACUUACCACGGAGUGGACCUGCCUUGGGGACCCAUCUCACCUCACUUCUGCCCUCCUUUCUGGUUCAUGACUCAGCCAUCCACUAACCUCCCGUGGUAGCACUGUGGCCACUCUGUAAACGACAGCACCACUGGUGUCUCACUGGGGGCCAGUCUGGAAGAGGGAGACCACCCUAGGCAUUUCAGACAGAAGGGAUGGAAUACAGGCAUUGCUUACACAGAGGACGGACCAGCAGAGAUGCAGAAAGGCCAGGUGAAGCAUUGGCCACAGCUGGAGGCGCUCCACCCUAGGCCAGCGGGACAGAAGGAAGCUGGGUCCGAGAAGCCAGGGCUGGAGCCACAGUGGGGGCUGCCUGGAAGAAAAUUCCAACACAGACCACAACACCUGUGGACCUGGAAAACAUUGUGCUCAGUGAAAGAAGCCAGACACAGAAGGACAAUGUUGUAUGAGGGACACAUUCCAGCAAAAAGACACAAAGUGACAGAAUGGCUGCCUUUGAGUUGGGGUGAGAAGAGGUGGAUGGCAGGUACCAGAAGAGAAGGGAAUAAAUAUAUGAAGAAAUACGACCCCCUCGGGCAGUGCCUGGCACAGCAUAAAUGCCCAGGAAAAAGAGGCCCAGUUGCUCACGUUCCCGGCGACAGGGCCGGGACCAGCGCCGGCUUCCUGGUGAAGGAGGCCACCCUUUCCUCUUGAGGGGUCUGAGUACGCAUGUCAGCACCCGGUGGGCACCCAGCACCCAGCUGACCAGGGGCCUUCACCUCUGUGGGGGUUACCGGCCUGGCCCUGAGAACUGGAUGAAAGCUGGAAUAAUUCUUUCUGUAAUAAAGCAAACGCGACCACGUUCAACCUUUCCCUUCAUUUCAGACGCUUCCCGCACCUGAUGCCUCCCACAGCCUCAGGCUGAGUCCCCAGGUGCUCCAGUGGGGGUGGCAAAGCUGAGCACUGAGUUGGUUUCCAUAGUUUUCAUCAUUAAAAUGUUUAAAUGACUAGGCCGGGCACAGUGGCUUCUCAGCAUUUUGGGAAGCCGAGGUAGGCAGAUCGCUUGAGCCCAGGAGUUUGAGACCAGCCUGGGAAACAUGGCAAAAUCCUGUCUCUACAAAAUGCAAAAAAAUUAGCCAGGUGUGGUGGUGUGUGCCUGUAGUCCCAGCUACUUGGGAGGCUGAAAUGUGAGGAUUGCUUGAGC
Gorilla gorilla gorilla (western lowland gorilla) is the source of this 1288-nucleotide long non-coding RNA. RefSeq lists it as uncharacterized. The record is from RefSeq and is a predicted model, not a curated record. NCBI's taxonomy places the organism in Eukaryota, Metazoa, Chordata, Mammalia, Primates, Hominidae. The transcript has 3 exons.